Molecule: ribosomal RNA, 790 nt
Filed under: uncultured archaeon
Lineage: Archaea
Description: bacterial SSU rRNA
Rfam family: Archaeal small subunit ribosomal RNA
Source: RNAcentral
ACUGUUUCAGUAACACGUGGAUAACCUGCCCUAUGGUGGAGAAUAACCCCGGGAAACUGGGGAUAAUACUCCAUAGAUUAGAGAUACUGGAAUGUUCUUUAAUCGAAAGUUGAGGCGCCAUAGGAUGGAUCUGCGGUCGAUUAGGUUGUUGUUGGGGUAACGGCCCAACAAGCCUGUAAUCGAUACGGGUUGUGGGAGCAAGAGCCCGGAGAUGGAAUCUGAGACACGAUUCCAGGCCCUACGGGGCGCAGCAGGCGCGAAAACUUUACAAUGCAGGAAACUGUGAUAAGGGAACCCCGAGUGCCCGUAUACGCGGGCUGUCCAGGUGUCUAAAAAGCAUCUGAAGAAAGGGCCGGGCAAGACCGGUGCCAGCCGCCGCGGUAAUACCGGCGGCUCGAGUGGUGGCCACUAUUAUUGGGCUUAAAGCGUCCGUAGCUGGACUCUUAAGUCUCUUGGGAAAUCCGCCGGCUUAACCGACGGGCGUCUAAGAGAUACUGAGAGUCUAGGGACCGGGAGAGGUGAGAGGUACUCCGGGGGUAGGAGUGAAAUCCUGUAAUCCCUGGGGGACCACCGAUGGCGAAGGCAUCUCACCAGAACGGCUCCGACAGUGAGGGACGAAAGCUGGGGGAGCGAACCGGAUUAGAUACCCGGGUAGUCCCAGCCGUAAACUAUGCGCGUUAGGUGUACUGGUGACCACGAGUCACUGGGGUGCCGAAGGGAAACCGUGAAACGUGCCGCCUGGGAAGUACGGUCGCAAGGCUGAAACUUAAAGGAAUUGGCGGGGGAGCAC